GACAGAGGGUGCAAGCGUUGCUCGGAAUCACUGGGCGUAAAGGGCGUGUAGGCGGGCAGGUAAGUCGGGCGUGAAAUCCCUGAGCUCAACUCAGGAACUGCACUCGAAACUACUUUUCUUGAGUGCCGGAGAGGAAAGCGGAAUACCUGGUGUAGAGGUGAAAUUCGUAGAUAUCAGGUGGAACACCAGUGGCGAAGGCGGCUUUCUGGACGGUAACUGACGCUGAGACGCGAAAGCGUGGGGAGCAAACAGG
This 253-nucleotide ribosomal RNA is filed under the name uncultured bacterium. Its description in RNAcentral is "partial 16S ribosomal RNA". It matches the Rfam family "Bacterial small subunit ribosomal RNA", at positions 524 to 776 of the family's 1533-position model. The record is from RNAcentral.